UGGCAUGUGCAUGCAUACAGCCAAUAAGGCAAACCUCCAGCAAGGAUUUAGACAUCCAAACUAUGGAGAGGGUAAUCAAGGGCUGUUACUCAACCAAUAGAAUCCAGAUAAUUUCCGCCACAAGUGGGAGCAGGGAGCUUGCUGGGGAGGGAGUUACAAUCGGGAGCAGAACAUAGGAAAGCAGGAGAGGCUUGUUAGACCAUAUUACUAGGCUGCCGUUUCCGUACCUCUCCACCCAAUGAACUAUAUCCACAAAGACCAUACCUGAAAUUCCAAAUAAUAAAAGCCAUUUUAUACCCCCAAAUCAGUAAGCAACAAGAAAUUCUUGAAAUAAUGUCACUUUAUGCAGCUAUGGAAUCAGAACAUCCAUUAUAUAGGAUUUAUAAGAAGUCAACAACUGAGUGCAUGAAGUGACCAUCUGUUUUAUUCUGAGUUAAUUCCACCAUUUCAGACAGGCCUUUCCUGGAGUCCUUUAACUACACAGUCCAAGAUAUGAAGAUGGACUAUUAUACAUAAAAGGCCGGUACUUGGCAGGAUUAGCACCUGCAUGGCUACUGGCCAUGGUGAUUGGGAGAUAUUGAGUUGCACUCCCCCAAAAUCACUUUCUGAACUUUGGAGACCUGUGGUUGUAAUGGCCACCUUCCCUGGCAACGUUGCUUCUAGCCCAGCAGUAACAGAAACAAGCCCUUUGAAAGGAGGGCUGGAGAAAAAGAGAACAAGCAAAAUUGUGCACAGGUACAUGCUGUGCUUUACUGGAACUGUCCCUCUAAAACUUGGUAGAUCUAUUUAUAAUAGGUUGCACUGUCUAAUCCAGAUGCUAAUAAAGCUCUUUGGAGAGAGUUGGGCAGGAUUUGCUUGCAAAGAAAGCAUGGAUCUCAUCAGAACAGUUCCCCCCCCCCCUUCCUUUUCUUUACUUGGCAAUGCUUGGCCCUUUUUGACAGCUUCUCACUGCAACUGAGGUCCUGUUGAAGUAACGUUGACAUAAGAGCAGAUAAUCACUGUGACACCAGCCUUUGAGGUCACCAAAGGACAAAGGGGCUGU
Molecule: long non-coding RNA, 1042 nt
Filed under: Pogona vitticeps (central bearded dragon)
Lineage: Eukaryota; Metazoa; Chordata; Lepidosauria; Squamata; Agamidae
Description: lncRNA (ENSPVIG00000015263.1)
Source: RNAcentral